AUUGAACGCUGGCGGCAGGCCUAACACAUGCAAGUCGAGCGGCAGCGGGUCCUUCGGGAUGCCGGCGAGCGGCGGACGGGUGAGUAAUGCCUAGGAAUCUGCCUGGUAGUGGGGGAUAACUCGGGGAAACUCGAGCUAAUACCGCAUACGUCCUACGGGAGAAAGCGGGGGAUCUUCGGACCUCGCGCUACCAGAUGAGCCUAGGUCGGAUUAGCUAGUUGGUGAGGUAAAGGCUCACCAAGGCGACGAUCCGUAGCUGGUCUGAGAGGAUGAUCAGCCACACUGGAACUGAGACACGGUCCAGACUCCUACGGGAGGCAGCAGUGGGGAAUAUUGGACAAUGGGCGAAAGCCUGAUCCAGCCAUGCCGCGUGUGUGAAGAAGGUCUUCGGAUUGUAAAGCACUUUAAGUUGGGAGGAAGGGCAGUAAGUUAAUACCUUGCUGUUUUGACGUUACCGACAGAAUAAGCACCGGCUAACUUCGUGC
Molecule: ribosomal RNA, 485 nt
Filed under: uncultured bacterium
Lineage: Bacteria
Description: bacterial SSU rRNA
Rfam family: Bacterial small subunit ribosomal RNA
Source: RNAcentral